AGAGAGAGACAUGCGCGCAUAUCAAUAAGCGGAGGAAAAGAAACUAACAAGGAUUCCCUUAGUAACGGCGAGUGAAGCGGGAAGAGCUCAAAUUUGAAAUCUUCAAGGUAUUACCUUGACGAAUUGUAGUUUAAAGAAGUGUUUUCUGCUGAAGUUUUGGUAAAAGUUCUUUGGAAUAGGACAUCAUAGAGGGUGAGAAUCCCGUAUUUGACCAUUAUUUUCAGCUUUGUGAUACACUUUCAAAGAGUCGGAUUGUUUGGGAAUGCAGUCCAAAAUGGGUGGUAAAUUUCAUCUAAAGCUAAAUAUUGGCGAGAGACCGAUAGCGAACAAGUACCGUGAGGGAAAGAUGAAAAGAACUUUGAAAAGAGAGUUAAACAGUACGUGAAAUUGUCAAAAGGGAAGCGUUUGACACCAGUGUUGUUUUCUCGAAAAUCAAUUAAAAAUGGCUCGAUUUUGUAUUGCUGAGACCUUAAAGGCUCACUGUACAUUUUUCGUGUCUUUUUUAAUGCACUUUUCGUUUAACAAGUCAACAUCAGUUUCUUUUGUUGUAAAAGGGUCAUUGGAAGGUGGCUUUCUUUUCGGAGAAAGUGUUUAUAGCCUUUGGCCUCUGCAAUCGGAGAGAUUGAGGUCUGCAGCGUAGACUCCUUCGGGGUUAGAUACAUUUGUGCUAAGUUAUAGCCUUUUCAUAGACAACUUGUUGACUAUAAUCAGUCAUGUAGCUUACUCGCUUAUGCUAUUUUACCUACGCUUAGGAUGUUGAGUCGUAGAGCACGCAG
RNAcentral lists this ribosomal RNA (776 nucleotides) under uncultured Neocallimastigales. RNAcentral's name for it is "partial large subunit ribosomal RNA". It matches the Rfam family "Eukaryotic large subunit ribosomal RNA", at positions 23 to 634 of the family's 3401-position model. Lineage: Eukaryota; Fungi; Neocallimastigomycota; Neocallimastigomycetes; Neocallimastigales. The record is from RNAcentral.